UACGAAGGGGGCUAGCGUUGUUCGGAAUUACUGGGCGUAAAGCGCACGUAGGCGGAUAUUUAAGUCAGGGGUGAAAUCCCGGGGCUCAACCCCGGAACUGCCUUUGAUACUGGGUAUCUUGAGUUCGGAAGAGGUAAGUGGAAUUGCGAGUGUAGAGGUGAAAUUCGUAGAUAUUCGCAGGAACACCAGUGGCGAAGGCGGCUUACUGGUCCGAUACUGACGCUGAGGUGCGAAAGCGUGGGGAGCAAACAGG
Molecule: ribosomal RNA, 253 nt
Filed under: uncultured bacterium
Lineage: Bacteria
Description: partial 16S ribosomal RNA
Rfam family: Bacterial small subunit ribosomal RNA
Source: RNAcentral